This 3073-nucleotide long non-coding RNA is filed under the name Mytilus galloprovincialis (Mediterranean mussel). The record is from RNAcentral. Lineage: Eukaryota; Metazoa; Mollusca; Bivalvia; Mytilida; Mytilidae.
GUCAGUAGUUCAGCAACAAAUACGAAUAAACCACUCGUAAAGAUGUUCUGUAAGGUACAGUACGUUUUCCUCGCCGAAAUAUAGAAAUUGAAAGAGUGUUUGCUUGUAGCAUAGAUGUGUAAACCCAUACAUCUAUGCUCGUAGUUUCAUCUGAUAUUGACGCCAUCUUAGAAUUAUCACUUAACAAAUAUCGGUUCUCAUUGGUUGACGUUUGAAAAUGAAUACAAUUCGGUUGGCUAGAAUGCAAUAUUCAAUUGUGAACAUUUCCUGGAAUGGGGGAGAUAACAAAUUACAGUAGAGGCAUUCAAGAUUCGAUCAGCAGAUAAAUACUUGACGAAAUAUGAUACUGCAAAGUACUCCGUACCUUUAAAUAAAGAUUGAAAUUGUAAUAAAAUUAAAUAAGUUUCGUGAGCGGAAAUAAACAUGUUGAUACUGACUUCGUUAUCAUUGACUUGUUUAUAAUAUAGUUUGCUUGUAUGUAUUUUAUAAUCAGUGUGAUGCUCAAGUGAACUGAUUUUAAUAGAAAGCAAGAAAAAGCACAACUUUAAAAAUUUAUGAUUAUAAUGAUAAAGUUAUUAUAUCGAUAUACUGUGUACAUUAUGUAUAGUAUGCUAAGAAUAUUUUUAAGUUAUCCAUUUAAGAAAUAUAUUGACGAGCAGUCCCUUUAUUUUUAUUUUUACGGUUUUAGUAAACAAAAAUCUGUUUAUUAGGUUAUUUUUAUGAGUUCAUCAGUAUUUUAAACAAACUUACUCUUGUAUCUGGUUAUCAUAAUAUCAUCUUGAAGUAGCGCUGGCAGAAUGUCAGUAUGUACCAUACACUUAGCACUAAAUUAUUCGAUGCUGCCUUGAUUAAGACGAUGCAGUUAAUCUCAUAAUUAACACAGUUUGUAUUCUAUGCAUAACACAUACUAUUCAUAACACAUGAUUUGUUCUUAUUAUUUGAUAAUGUUUCGCAUUUUCACUGCUGAUAAGCAUUUGUUUCACUAAACCAGUUUUCAUAUUAGUAACCCUCAUAUUAUAAAUACAAAGAUUGAGUCUUUUGUUUUUCAGGAUGGGAUAUGAACAUCUAAUUGCCUUCUGUAGAUGUCUACGUUUUUGGGUUUUUUUUAAAUAUUGUGGCUACAUUCUGACUUUUCUAAAUUGACUUUCAUUGUAAAAGUUCGAGUUUAAUAGCUUUUUAAAAUGCAAAGAUAUAUGCUUCCUUCAAAGGAAGGGACGUACAAUAAAACGGGUAAACAAAAAGAGAAGCGAAUCAUUAUUUGAAAACAAACUGACAACGCAAUGGCAAAACAAAAUGCUCAAAAGAUAAAUAACAUUAUCGCUAUUUUGUGCAUUUUUCGUUUGAUCUUUUUUUGUUAUAAUUUUCAUAUCAUGCUAUUCGCUUAAGAUUGAAAAAUUAUUGCUAGAAACUAAGCAGGCACGUGGCGUUGCUAACGAAAUUGACAUGAAAAUGACAACGUCGCCAUAGGUAAAAUAGCGAUAAACAGAUUAUCAUUGGUCAUCUCAACUCAAUUGCCUUUCUCGCUUUCGCCGUCCCUGCUGAAGCGAGAAAAUCAAUCUCGUUGAGAUGAUCAACAAUAAUCUAUAAGUAUACAAAACACAACAUAGAACGCUAACUGCUGAGCAACACAAAAUUAGAAAAGUAUUAUUUGUAAAACGUUUGCUUUAUUUUCACUGAGGUUAAAACUUAUGAAUUUAAAAAGAAAAGGUAAAUGGUAUAACUUCAUUUUAGAAUAAGAAAAUUUGUGUAACGAAGACUCUUAGACAAUUUUUUUUUAUGAUGUCUAAAUUAGGUACGAAUGGAUUUUAUAUAAUAUUGUUGCAAUUCACAGUAUAGAAACAAUACUGUCUUAAAGAUGAUCAUUCAAAUAAAAUUGAUACAUAAUUAUAAAUGUCUUUUUUUCGACUCAAGGAUGAAGAUGAUGAUGGCCCAAUAGAGUUCUUACAGUUAAAGAAAUACAGGAAAAUUGGUUCAGUGGUAAGUUCAAACUACUUACUUCGAAAACUUAAUCCUGAAUUGUACGCAUAAUGUUACAUUAUUGAAACGUUUACUUAACGUGAUUCACUUUAUAAAAAGGUAUUGACACAUUAAUAAGAACACAAUUAUAAAUCUUCUGUUUGCAAAACUCGAAUAUAUUUUGAAAUACUAUGGAUUUUCUACCUUAUAUAAAUAUUACCUUGGCUGUUUUUAUCAAUUAUGAGUCAAUGAUGGGUCUUUUGAAGACGAAACGCGCGUAUCGCGUACAAAAUAUUACUUUAGGUAUCUAUGAUGAGCUGUCACGAAAAUAAGAAGAUUGUCAAGAAACAUUUUGGUCUGUGAAAAUAGUUAUUGUUUAAGUGACAUUUGAACUGUUAGGUUUUAAGUUGUUGUUACAUCAACGACCUGACAGCUUUUAACUUUUACGAAACACUAUUUUUGUUUGUUUUUUUUAUUUUACGUUAUGCUCAUUAUCUUGCAUGUUGCGAUGAUCUUUACUCAACCCGAUGUGACUUCUUAAAAAGUCUUAAGAUCUACUCUAAAAUAUCAUAAAUAACUCUCAUAACUUUGCAAUAAUAGCAAUAAUUUGAUUUUUCUAUUCUAUAUAUGUAUUUAUAAAAUAAAUGACGAUAAACUUUAACCAAUUAUAAAAAAAAAAUGUCUAUAUAUAAUAAAUAUAUAUAAUUUACAAUAAGUACUAUUGCAUAUGAUUUAUUUACUUUUUAAGGAACACAUGCCUUGGAAUCUCAAACAGGACAGUAAAACAAAAUACCGAAAAGGUCCAGAUGACGAAAGCAUUGUUUGAAAUUAAGAACACUUUUUUUCUGAUGAAUGUUGAACAUUUACAAAAGUGUUAAUUUCCAUGCAAGUGCUAUUGACAAUUUGAGUUGUUUGGUUUCAGAGAUUUUUUCAUGAUUGACCAAAGAUGUUUGUUGGUUAAUUGUGUGGUGUUUUUUUCUUUAUAUCUUUAUUCAAUAAGAAUUUACUCGACCUGUUUUGUUUGAGAAUUUUUGUCUUCAUUAUUGAUUGAAGAUUUGUAAUUAUAAAACGUUUAACUACUAAUGUAUAAGCGGAAAAGUAAUUUUGAAUAAUAAAG